UGGGGAAUAUUGCACAAUGGGCGAAAGCCUGAUGCAGCAACGCCGCGUGAGCGAUGAAGGUUUUCGGAUCGUAAAGCUCUGUCGCAUGGGAAGAUAAUGACGGUACCAUGUGAGGAAGCCCCGGCUAACUACGUGCCAGCAGCCGCGGUAAUACGUAGGGGGCAAGCGUUAUCCGGAAUUACUGGGCGUAAAGGGUGCGUAGGUGGUCUGCCAAGUUAGAGGUCAAAGGCAACGGCUCAACCGUUGUUCGCCCCUAAAACUGGCGGACUUGAGUUCUGGAGGGGAAAGCGGAAUUCCUAGUGUAGCGGUGAAAUGCGUAGAUAUUAGGAGGAACACCAGUGGCGAAGGCGGCUUUCUGGACAGAUACUGACACUGAGGCACGAAAGCGUGGGUAGCAAACAGG
RNAcentral lists this ribosomal RNA (403 nucleotides) under uncultured Proteocatella sp. RNAcentral describes it as "bacterial SSU rRNA". It matches the Rfam family "Bacterial small subunit ribosomal RNA", at positions 355 to 776 of the family's 1533-position model. Lineage: Bacteria; Bacillati; Bacillota; Clostridia; Peptostreptococcales; Filifactoraceae. The record is from RNAcentral.